RNAcentral lists this transfer RNA (70 nucleotides) under Cryptocentrus cinctus. Its description in RNAcentral is "tRNA-Trp". It matches the Rfam family "tRNA". From Rfam's summary of the family: Transfer RNA (tRNA) molecules are approximately 80 nucleotides in length. Their secondary structure includes four short double-helical elements and three loops (D, anti-codon, and T loops). The record is from RNAcentral. Lineage: Eukaryota; Metazoa; Chordata; Actinopteri; Gobiiformes; Gobiidae.
AGAGGCUUAGGAUAACUCAGACCAAGGGCCUUCAAAGCCCCAAGCGGGAGUUAAAAUCUCCCAGCCCCUG